CCUACGGGAGGCAGCAGUGGGGAAUAUUGCACAAUGGGGGAAACCCUGAUGCAGCGACGCCGCGUGAGUGAAGACGUAAUUCGUUAUGUAAAGCUCUAUCAGCAGGGGAGAAAAUGACGGUACCUGUGUCAGAAGCCCAGGCUAACUACGUGCCAGCAGCCGCGGUAAUACGUAGGGGGCAAGCGUUAUCCGGAUUUACUGGGUGUAAAGGGGGCGUAGACGGCAGGGCAAGUCUGGAGGUAAAGGCGGGGGCUCAACCCCCGGACGGCUCUGGAAACUGUACGGCUGGAGUGCAGGAGAGGUAAGUGGAAUUCCUGGUGUAGCGGUGAAAUGCGUAGAUAUUAGGAGGAACACCAGUGGCGAAGGCGGCUUACUGGACCGUAACUGACGUUGAGGCUCGAAAGCGUGGGGAGCAAACAGGAUUAGAUACCCGAGUAGUC
This 440-nucleotide ribosomal RNA is filed under the name uncultured bacterium. Its description in RNAcentral is "partial 16S ribosomal RNA". It matches the Rfam family "Bacterial small subunit ribosomal RNA", at positions 338 to 795 of the family's 1533-position model. The record is from RNAcentral.